GACAGAGGGUGCGAGCGUUAAUCGGAGUUACUGGGCGUAAAGGGCGCGUAGGCGGUUAUAUGAGUGUGUUGUGAAAGCCCCGGGCUUAACCUGGGAAGCGCAAUGCAAACGAUAUAACUGGAGUAGAUGAGAGGGUGGCGGAAUUUCCGGUGUAGCGGUGAAAUGCGUAGAGAUCGGAAGGAACGUCGAUGGCGAAGGCAGCCACCUGGCAUCAUACUGACGCUGAGGCGCGAAAGCGUGGGGAUCGAACAGG
This 253-nucleotide ribosomal RNA is filed under the name uncultured bacterium. Its description in RNAcentral is "partial 16S ribosomal RNA". It matches the Rfam family "Bacterial small subunit ribosomal RNA", at positions 524 to 776 of the family's 1533-position model. The record is from RNAcentral.